CGUGACAUCACAUCCAGAUGUUUGAUAUCAGAAAAUUUGUCAGGAUCUAAAACAUCAGCAAGUAAACGUCAGGUUUUGCCGUCAG
This is a long non-coding RNA of Myripristis murdjan (pinecone soldierfish), 85 nucleotides long. RefSeq lists it as uncharacterized. Lineage: Eukaryota; Metazoa; Chordata; Actinopteri; Holocentriformes; Holocentridae. The record is from RefSeq and is a predicted model, not a curated record. The transcript is spliced from 4 exons.